CCCUUCACUCGACAAAUGGGGAUGUUAAGGCCCAGAAAGGCAAAGAAAGUUCCCCAAGGUCACAAGGUCAAUUGGCCACAUAGUUGAGGCUGGCCAAGAGAAAAGAAUAAUUUCUUGCUGGAUUCUUAGGAGAACCAUACAGGAAUAAGGUGUGAGGGGACAGGGAGGAAGAUUAGAGCAAAACAGGGGAGUUGAAGUGAGGGAGUUAGAAGGAGAACCUGGAUACCCCAGAAAACCCCAGCUCCAAUGUAGCCCACCCUGGCAGCCCAGGUGAUGGUGAGAGACGCAACUCACUUCUUCUGCUUCUUCUCCAGCUCAUGGUUUCGACUUUGUUGGUUCUCUAGCAGGACGCGGGUGUCCUCAAGGUCACAGAGCAGUCUCUGGAUAGAAGAUCCACAUGUACAGACAAAAUAUUUUUCAUGUCUCACAGUGACCAGCAUUUGUAAUAACAGUGGAGAUGGAAAAACCUGAAGUGGCUUGUGUUCCUCUUCCUCCCUCCCCAGGCUCAGCUAAUACCUCGAUCACCCACAGUGGAGGUGAGAGCCUGCCCGCUCUCUAACACUUCUGUGGCCCAGACUAUCCCCACAUCUUACCUUUUGCUCCAGCUCUUUCCUGGCUGUCAGUUCCGAGUCCAGCCUCUCCUCGCAUUGCUGCAGACGCUUUCUGAGGAACUCGUUCUCCAUCUGAGCACAGUCGAAGCGCAUUUGCCACUCGUCUGCUGUUUAACGGAGU
Molecule: non-coding RNA, 732 nt
Filed under: Pongo abelii (Sumatran orangutan)
Lineage: Eukaryota; Metazoa; Chordata; Mammalia; Primates; Hominidae
Source: RNAcentral